This 21-nucleotide microRNA is filed under the name Macaca mulatta (Rhesus monkey). Its description in RNAcentral is "mml-miR-7193-3p". The record is from miRBase by way of RNAcentral. Lineage: Eukaryota; Metazoa; Chordata; Mammalia; Primates; Cercopithecidae.
GCUUUUAGAGCUCAGCAUCUU